GCGACCCUAGCUCAGUUGGUAGAGCACGUGACUGAAAAUCACGGUGUCCCCAGUUCGAUUCUGGGGGGUCGCACCA
This 76-nucleotide transfer RNA is filed under the name Candidatus Eisenbacteria bacterium RBG_16_71_46. RNAcentral describes it as "tRNA-Phe". It matches the Rfam family "tRNA". From Rfam's summary of the family: Transfer RNA (tRNA) molecules are approximately 80 nucleotides in length. Their secondary structure includes four short double-helical elements and three loops (D, anti-codon, and T loops). The record is from RNAcentral. Lineage: Bacteria; Candidatus Eiseniibacteriota. RNAcentral also lists the same sequence under 7 other names.